RNAcentral lists this ribosomal RNA (403 nucleotides) under uncultured Bacillota bacterium. RNAcentral describes it as "bacterial SSU rRNA". It matches the Rfam family "Bacterial small subunit ribosomal RNA", at positions 356 to 774 of the family's 1533-position model. Lineage: Bacteria; Bacillati; Bacillota. The record is from RNAcentral.
GGGGAAUAUUGGGCAAUGGGGGAAACCCUGACCCAGCAACGCCGCGUGAGUGAAGAAGUCCUUCGGAUUGUAAACCUCUGUCGCAAGGGACGAAGAAGGGACGGUACCUUGUGAGGAAGCCCCGGCUAACUACGUGCCAGCAGCCGCGGUAAUACGUAGGGGGCGAGCGUUGUCCGGAAUUACUGGGCGUAAAGGGUGCGUAGGCGGCUAAUUAAGUUGGAUGUGAAAUACCCGGGCUUAACUUGGGGGGUGCAUUCAAAACUGGUUGGCUAGAGUUCAGGAGAGGGAAGCGGAAUACCUAGUGUAGCGGUGAAAUGCGUAGAUAUUAGGAGGAACACCAGUGGCGAAGGCGGCUUUCUGGACUGACACUGACGCUGAUGCACGAAAGCGUGGGGAGCAAACA